UAGUGAUGAUGAUGAUGAUUAUGAUGAUGAUGAUGUGUAAGAGGAAUUGUUCGAUCCAUUCGUCGGUCGUCAUCAUCAUCAUCAUCAUCAUCAUCAUCACUG
Molecule: microRNA precursor, 102 nt
Filed under: Bigelowiella natans CCMP2755
Lineage: Eukaryota; Cercozoa; Chlorarachniophyceae
Description: miRNA EPrBNAG00000013650
Source: RNAcentral